UACCAUAGCAUUCGCUAAUACAUGCAGUCGAGCGAAUUGACAGAGGUGCUUGCACCUUCUCGAUUUUAGCGGCGGACGGGUGAGUAACACGUGGGUAACCUACCUAUAAGACUGGGAUAACUUCGGGAAACCGGAGCUAAUACCGGAUAAUAUUUAGCUUCGCAUGAAGCAAUAGUGAAAGACGGUUCUGCUGUCACUUAUAGAUGGACCUGCGGGGUAUUAGCUAGUUGGUGAGGUAACGGCUCACCAAGGCAACGAUACAUAGCCGACCUGAGAGGGUGAUCGGCCACACUGGGACUGAGACACGGCCCAGACUCCUACGGGAGGCAGCAGUAGGGAAUCUUCCGCAAUGGACGAAAGCCUGACGGAGCAACGCCGCGUGAGUGAAGAAGGUUUUCGGAUCGUAAAACUCUGUUGUAAGGGAAGAACAAGUACGUUAGUAACUGAACGUACCUUGACGGUACCUUACCAGAAAGCCACGGCUAACUACGUGCCAGCAGCCGCGGUAAUACGUAGGUGGCAAGCGUUAUCCGGAAUUAUUGGGCGUAAAGCGCGCGUAGGCGGUCUCUUAAGUCUGAUGUGAAAGCCCCCGGCUCAACCGGGGAGGGUCAUUGGAAACUGGGAGACUUGAGUACAGAAGAGGAGAGUGGAAUUCCAUGUGUAGCGGUGAAAUGCGCAGAGAUAUGGAGGAACACCAGUGGCGAAGGCGGCUCUCUGGUCUGUAACUGACGCUGAGGUGCGAAAGCGUGGGGAUCAAACAGGAUUAGAUACCCUGGUAGUCCACGCCGUAAACGAUGAGUGCUAGUGUUGGGGGGUUUCCGCCCCUCAGUGCUGCAGCUAACGCAUUAGCACUCCGCCUGGGGAGUACGGUCGCAAGACUGAAACUCAGAAAUUUUGGGCGA
RNAcentral lists this ribosomal RNA (902 nucleotides) under Macrococcus sp. RNAcentral describes it as "bacterial SSU rRNA". It matches the Rfam family "Bacterial small subunit ribosomal RNA", at positions 37 to 917 of the family's 1533-position model. Lineage: Bacteria; Bacillati; Bacillota; Bacilli; Caryophanales; Staphylococcaceae. The record is from RNAcentral.